AUACGAUGCUGCCACGUAGUAUCCUGUGCGCCUUCGUUGCUUGCGUUGAUGAUUUAUUUAAAGAUACAAAAGAGGGAGAUUAUGCGAUUAUGGAUCACUACGAGGCCUUGGGGAUCGGCCGAAACGCCAGCAAAGGAGAAAUAAAAGAAGCGUUUCGGAAGUUGGCUCUGAAAUAUCAUCCAGACAAGCACGCACAGUCGCCCAAGGCCGUGAGAGACGGCGCAACUCUCCGAUUCAAGCAGGUUUCCGAGGCCUACGAGGUCCUUUCCGACGAUCGCAAGCGCUCCCUCUACAAUCUCCGAUCCUCCACCGCCCCACCCGGAUUUUCAGGUGGCUACGCCCACUCCUAUCAUUAUAAUAAUGAAAGACCUAGGUAUUCAUCUAGGCCCAAUGCCGAUGCCUUUGUUUCCAAAUUUGAGGUGGUUCUUCGCUUCCUGACCACUCGCGCGUUUCUACUCAACGUGGCCUUUGCUGGUGCUUUAUUAGGUGGUAUGGCGAUAAUUGAUAGGAGUGGGGAGACACUAUGGAAGAUGAACAAUUCUGGGAAAUCAUUUGACGAAGCCAUGGAGUCCAUUGGGAAGGCAAAAGCACAUAAAGAUGACAUGUAAAAGGGGCUAUCCAUGAUUUUCAUUGUAUGCUUUCCUCCCAUCAGAUCAAGAGCAGCAGCACGGAGUCCCAAAAGCGAAGGAACACAAAUGGCCGAGCCUGCUCUCUCUCUUGUCACACGCACACAGAGUAAAUCAAUGUUGUGACAUCACUGACAUGGAGCCAGACGGGUUCAGUGAUAGAAGGGUCUGUCAUCCAGUGAAACAAUUAAAUGAAAGCAAAUCUCAAAGGUUGACCAUAGGCAAGAAUUCUUGUUCUGAUUCAGAAGAGAGUUGGAAGCUUUGUUAAUGACUGAGAAUGGAGAAUUGGGUAUUAGCUAGCAGGUAUUCCUUCCUUGGUGGACCUUGUAGCUCAGAGUCGGUCAGUGAAAGCUCCAUUGAUAUAAAUGCUUGGCAGGUAAAGAAAUUUAAGCUUUUAACUCUUUUUCACAUUCGCGAAAGGGAAAACUGAAGAUGGGAGAUGGGGCCAGUCUGUCCGCGUGGGAACACUUCCUCGUUUGGGUGCAUAAGUCCAUUAAUAUGAUGGAAUUGCUCA
Molecule: RNA transcript, 1140 nt
Organism: Vitis riparia (riverbank grape)
Lineage: Eukaryota; Viridiplantae; Streptophyta; Magnoliopsida; Vitales; Vitaceae
Gene name: chaperone protein dnaJ 72
Exons: 4
Source: RefSeq, a predicted model, not a curated record